UCUGGAUAGCUUAAAAUUAAAGCUUAAUAUUGAAGAUAUUAGUAUAAGUAAUACUUUCUAGAUA
Molecule: transfer RNA, 64 nt
Filed under: Pygovepres vaccinicola
Lineage: Eukaryota; Metazoa; Arthropoda; Insecta; Hemiptera; Miridae
Description: tRNA-Phe
Source: RNAcentral